Molecule: ribosomal RNA, 506 nt
Filed under: uncultured bacterium
Lineage: Bacteria
Description: partial 16S ribosomal RNA
Rfam family: Bacterial small subunit ribosomal RNA
Source: RNAcentral
AGUGAACGCUGGCGGUAGGCCCAACACAUGCAAGUCGAACGGCAGCGCAGGAGAGCUUGCUCUCUGGGUGGCGAGUGGCGGACGGGUGAGGAAUACAUCGGAAUCUACUCUGUCGUGGGGGAUAACGUAGGGAAACUUACGCUAAUACCGCAUACGACCUACGGGUGAAAGCAGGGGACCUUCGGGCCUUGCGCGAUUGAAUGAGCCGAUGUCGGAUUAGCUAGUUGGCGGGGUAAAGGCCCACCAAGGCGACGAUCCGUAGCUGGUCUGAGAGGAUGAUCAGGCACACUGGAACUGAGACACGGUCCAGACUCCUACGGGAGUCAGCAGUGGGGAAUAUUGGACAAUGGGCGCAAGCCUGAUCCAGCCAUACCGCGUGGGUGAAGAAGGCCUUCGGGUUGUAAAGCCCUUUUGUUGGGAAAGAAAUCCAGCUGGCUAAUACCCGGUUGGGAUGACGGUACCCAAAGAAUAAGCACCGGCUAACUUCGUGCCAGCCGCCGCGGUAA